GACGAACGCUGGCGGCGUGCUUAACACAUGCAAGUCGAACGGAAAGUCCCUGCUUUGUUGGGGUGCUCGAGUGGCGAACGGGUGAUUAACACUUGGGUAACCUGCCCUUGACUUUGGGAUAACUUCAUGAAACUGGGGCUAAUACCGGAUAGGAGCUCCUGCUGCAUGGUGGGGGUUGUCUAGUUUCGGCGGUUGGGGAUGGACUCCCGGCUUAUCAGAUUGUUGGUGGGGUAGUUGCUUACCAAGGCUUUGACGGGUAGCCGGCCUGAGAGGGUGACCGGAGACAUUGGGACUGAGAUACGGCCCCGACUCCUACGGGAGGGAGCAGUGGGGAAUAUUGCACGAUGGGCGGAAGAGUGAUGCAGCAACGCAGCGCGCGGGAUAAGGGGCCUCGGGUUGUAAACCGCUUUCGCCUGUGACGAAGAGUGAGUGACGGUAAUGGGUAAAGAAGCACCGGCUAACUACGUG
Molecule: ribosomal RNA, 468 nt
Filed under: uncultured bacterium
Lineage: Bacteria
Description: partial 16S ribosomal RNA
Rfam family: Bacterial small subunit ribosomal RNA
Source: RNAcentral